Molecule: transfer RNA, 72 nt
Filed under: Chryseobacterium sp. H1D6B
Lineage: Bacteria; Pseudomonadati; Bacteroidota; Flavobacteriia; Flavobacteriales; Weeksellaceae
Description: tRNA-Asn
Rfam family: tRNA
About the family: Transfer RNA (tRNA) molecules are approximately 80 nucleotides in length. Their secondary structure includes four short double-helical elements and three loops (D, anti-codon, and T loops). Further hydrogen bonds mediate the characteristic L-shaped molecular structure. tRNAs have two regions of fundamental functional importance: the anti-codon, which is responsible for specific mRNA codon recognition, and the 3' end, to which the tRNAs corresponding amino acid is attached (by aminoacyl-tRNA synthetases). tRNAs cope with the degeneracy of the genetic code in two manners: having more than one tRNA (with a specific anti-codon) for a particular amino acid; and 'wobble' base-pairing, i.e. permitting non-standard base-pairing at the 3rd anti-codon position.
Source: RNAcentral
GAUUUCGUAGCUCAAUGGUAGAGCAUCGGUCUGUUAAACCGAAAGUUGAAGGUUCGAGUCCUUCCGAGAUCG